GACUGUUCUCUCUUUAAAAACGUCAAAUGUCCGAAACGUCAGAUUUUUCUUCAUCACAACACAAACUUACUGCACUGUUUGAACUGUUUAAAAAAUUAAGCCAAAAAUCACUUGAAUAUUAGGAAAACAAGAAUAUGACAAAUAAUAAACGUAUUCACAUCACCGAAGACUAGGUUUGAGCAUUAUCUUGUAUAGAAUUACCUAGUAAUAACACAUUUUGAUUCAACCUAACGAAAGCACUUUUUUAUGUAGUCGCUUAAGUGGCUAGAAAUAACAGCUAAAAUUUUCUUCAAAUCACAUCUUACUGUCUUUAAGAAGGCUAAAGUCACACUGGAUAAUACAGUCCUAGAAAUACUACGUCCAAGGAAGAGACAAGAUGUAACAACCUGAAUGCCAUUGAUGAUAGUUCAACAGGAUCAGGUUCAUCUUGGGAGUAAAAAGAAAAAUAUAGUCAACCUAAAAGCUGCCGUCCAAACAAGAAAAACACAUUGCAAACGUGAAAUGUCAAUCAUCCCAACCAAACAGGACACCGACGUAAAAACUUUAUUACACAUUGAAAGAAAAUGUUAGACAAGAUAAACAGAAAUUUAAUUUGGGAGUAAUACGAACAUUAAAUUUUAAAAUGGAAGAUUGACAGCCGGCAAUAAAUGAAACACCCAGAACUUUUACAGCCUGAUACUUAUUUUAUUGAUGCUCCAAGUUAGGGAUAUAAACGGACGCAAUAUAAACUACAAACAAGAACACAUACAAACCCACACAUACAUACAAGUAACAAGCUUCAGCAAUCAACACAACGGAACAACUUCACACAAUACUCCAAAAGGAAAUAAUAUAUACUAUUCGAUCGCUUUGGAUGAAUCGACUAAUGGUGAUACUGAUUCGACGCAGAUUCUAUACUUCAUUUGGGCCGUAACAGAAGAUUUUAUAUGCUAUGAAGAGUUUCUGGCAUUCGGCACUCUUACAGGAAUAGAUAUCUUCACAAAUUUUCAAGAUAAAUGUCGUGAAAUUGGAUUGAAUUUGGUUAAUUUAGCGACUGUAUGUAGAGACAGUGUACCGUCCAUGGCAGGAAAACAUGAAGGGUUUAUUGCACGAAUAGAAAAAUAAGUAAUAUCAGAUCCAGAUGCUCUCAUUUCUUAUCAUUGUAUCCUUACAUCAACAAAAUCUCUUUGCUUACAUCAGCAAAAUCUACAAUUUUAAGUGACACUUGGCAACAAGUUAUAAGUAUUGUUAACUAUAUUUGUGUAAAUGCAACACGGCAUCAUCCGUUUCAUAACAGGCUUAAGUUGAACGAAGAAUUAUUCAGUGUGGAUUUGCCGUAUCAUUCUAAAGUGCAUAAAACCAUGUCGUUAUAUAUGUGGCAAAAAAAUCCAAGCAUUUCGAAAAAAGCUAUCUUUUUUCAAAAUUUAUCUUCUUCGAAAGGAAAUUUCGGAUGAACAUUUUCAUGGAAGAAAGGAAGAUUCAUGGAAAUCAUUUGAAGACUACGCAGCUGUUAUAGACUUAUUAAUUGGAUAAUACCAUGGAAGGUUCACUGACUUUGAGAAUCAUGACAUCACGCUCAAAUUAACAUUUCGGCCCCAUCUUGUUGAUGUCUCCAAGGCUCCUAAAGAACUACAGAUGGAAUUGAUUGAGCUCUCAGAAGAUGACAUUUUAAAGUUCUUAUUCGACGCUAAGAAAGAUCCGAUUGAAAUAUGGGGAAAAAUGCAAUGCCCAUGUUUUUGGCAACAGGCACGAAAAAUGUUUUCCUGCUUUUCAACCACUUAUUACUGCGAACCUACAUUCUCCUACCAAACCAAAAUUAAGACGUCCGUAAGGUCACAAAUGAUGGAUACCCAUCUAGAGGAUCAGCUGAAACUGCAGACCUCCAUGCUGCAACCAAAUAUUCAAAUGCUUUCCUACAAAGAAGCAGUCACAACAAAGUCAUUAGAAGAGAAUCCAAAAUAUGGCAUUAUUGUGGGUCACCUCGAGGUUGAAGUGGUGUAACAUUCCAUUCCAGGCCCCAAUUCCCUACAAACCCCAUUGACAAAGCCGUGGAUGUUCUCAACUGUGACAAAAACAUUUAGAGGAAAAACACCAGUAUUUUCUUGUGCAUAAUUGAGGGAAGUGUGCAUAUCUUUUCUAUUUUAUUUUCGUCUUUCUUUUUGACUCAUUCAUUUUGACUGUUUUUAUUCUUUACCAAUUUGUAAAUUGAGAUUAAUUUUCUUUACAUUUGUAAAUACAUUUUUCGUCUCUAAUGAAUUCGGAAUUUUGUGAAUAUCUAUGACCAAAAUAGAGUUUAAAAGUGGGCGUAUAAUCGAUGCUAGAGCUCUCUUUACCAUCAGAUUUUCCUACAGCAGACAUCCCAGGUCAAUUUUCCUCAAUAAUUCUGUGAUUUAAAAAGUUUUGCAAUAUUUAGUUAUGUCUCUUUACGUUGUGAGAUCAAAUCCUGCUGAGGUUGAUACAACUUUACAACAUUUUGCAGUCGAUGACUGCUAAUUAUAUUCGCACUGAAGAUAGUGUUACCGAUUCCAUUAACUAUAACCGUCUCCCCCCAAUAUCUUAUCCCGUGCCUUUGUAAUUGUUAUUGAUGCUUCAGCUCAGAUAAACCCUUGAUCACACUCUACCCUCUUCGAAAAAGGAAGAACCCGUUUAUAAAAAGAAGCUGAAGGAUAAUAACUGGAACGCCUUUGAUUAGAUAUGUUUGCUAAAUGAUGGUUAACUAGAGGCUGAAAAACAACAUGGAUAUGUGAUAUAUACGAAAUAAAAUACUCAGACACGCUGUCUGUAUGAAAAAAUGA
Molecule: long non-coding RNA, 2774 nt
Organism: Octopus bimaculoides (California two-spot octopus)
Lineage: Eukaryota; Metazoa; Mollusca; Cephalopoda; Octopoda; Octopodidae
Source: RefSeq, a predicted model, not a curated record